GUGCUCCCUUCGGCAAGCACUUACACUAAAACUGGAACAAUGCAGAGAAGAUUAGCACGGCCUUUGCACAAGGAUGACAGGCAAAUUUGUGAAGCAUUCUUUUUUUUU
Molecule: small nuclear RNA, 108 nt
Organism: Cercocebus atys (sooty mangabey)
Lineage: Eukaryota; Metazoa; Chordata; Mammalia; Primates; Cercopithecidae
Source: Ensembl